AACAACAUUUAAAGAUAUGCCAUGGAUGGGUGUCAUUAUUAAUCAGAUUAUUUUCUGAGCUACACUAGUCAUGCUUCUACAGACUUUUACCAAACAAAUGGAUGGUAUCACGUGUAUUAACACAAAUUUAAAGCACCAACACAAACAUCAUGAAACAAUUAAAAGACAUGUCAACCCAUCUAUGAAAUUGUGACGAUGAACAACAGAGUCUCCAAUGAUGUUCCCACGCAGCCAUUUUUCGAAAGCUGAUUGAUAUAAAAUAUGUUUGUUUUGUCAUUACCUUCUUUGCGUUGUGGUAUUCUGUGGAGGAAAAUCAGUGUUUGAUGCUCGAGUAAAUGUUUUAAGUUUAUCCAGAGAAAGACUGUCAACUUGUCUAUUAGAUUGGAACAUCUGGGACAUCUUAACUCAAAGUCCACACCUUUAAUAUUAUGAUCUACAAAAAAUGAAUGGAUAUUUGCUAAUUCAAAUGUUGCUUUUAUAAUUGAAGGUAGAACAUACGAUUCAGGAAUUUA
Molecule: long non-coding RNA, 512 nt
Organism: Aethina tumida (small hive beetle)
Lineage: Eukaryota; Metazoa; Arthropoda; Insecta; Coleoptera; Nitidulidae
Exons: 2
Source: RefSeq, a predicted model, not a curated record